GCACUUAUGUCGUGGCCUACCUAUGAGUGGGACGUCUUAAAGUAGCCUACCCACUGAUACUCUGCUUUUAAGAUCAGGCCAAAGAGAACGCAAUCUAAACAACAAAGAGGGGGGUCAGAAUCCCUUUUUUUUGUCUGGGAAGCAGUUACGUGGACAUUGAGCCAGGCCGCUGCACGCCCCGUCCUGCAGAUCACAGCCGAGCAGACUUGGCUCCAUCCUAAUCUCGCAAGUCUCAACAGUCUGCUACGCAAGUUUAUCCAGAGGGGGUUGAGCCUCUCGUUUAGCCCCUCAUCACCGACCCGUCCCACCCGCCCCUGUCCGCUGCCCGCCUCCACUCCAGAGGAAAACUCUCUGUCAGUGACCCUCUGCUGACUCUGGAUGCCUAAUCCUUUAAAUGUGGGCAAAGCCUGAAAUGAUGAGGAGUCCGGCUUUUUUAUGCAGGUGAUGUCUUUUUGGCCUCUCUCGGAUUCCCCACAGGAUCAAACAGGAGAUCCUCUGGGUGUAAUGGGGCAGGCAGGAAAGCCUCACAGCCUGCAGUCUGCUGCAGGAGCAAGGAAGAAUUUACAGGUCAAAUCUAGGCUGCAUCCCUCCUGUUUGUCUUCACCUGCUUUCAUUAGAGAGCAAACGUUGCACUUGAAACAACACAAGUCAACUUUGAGAAUCACAAAAAGUACAUGAUAAUUAAAUAUUUUAAUACAAGUUAUCUGUUUAUAGCAGAUGGCUGCACAUCAGUGAGUCUGGGUUUGCUGGAGAUUUCUGCCUUAGGAAGUUUUCCGACAUUUCUGCUGUUGCCAAGUCCUUGUUCAGUGUAAUCCAAGCUCUCUGUAAAUGAUACUAUGCAUCACAAUACCUAUAAUUUAAUCAGGACCUGCUCUGUCUAAAUCUUCAUCAGAGUACAUUUGUAUUAAUUUUGCAUGAGACAAAUCUGCUGUGAUUAAUUGAUUGUUUUUGACAUAAAGAGUUUUAAUAUUUGGUAAAUAAUACUUAAAAAGUUAUAAUUUUUAAAAAAGUAGCAGUGAUAUUAUUGCACGCUUGUAUAUAAUUGUAGCCUCUGUGUAGUGCAUUGAAAGUUGCUGUUCAUAGGCUGGAAAAACAAUAAAUAGUAUGGCUUUUUAGAGAGCAAAUGCA
Molecule: long non-coding RNA, 1128 nt
Organism: Cheilinus undulatus (humphead wrasse)
Lineage: Eukaryota; Metazoa; Chordata; Actinopteri; Labriformes; Labridae
Exons: 2
Source: RefSeq, a predicted model, not a curated record